This 1373-nucleotide long non-coding RNA is filed under the name Triticum aestivum (bread wheat). RNAcentral's name for it is "long non-coding RNA (TAES_LNC016586)". Lineage: Eukaryota; Viridiplantae; Streptophyta; Magnoliopsida; Poales; Poaceae. The record is from RNAcentral.
UUUUUUUUUCUGAUAAAGUUAUGUUUGAACCUGCAAAUGCUACCAAAUCUCUAAACAAUCUUCAACACAAUAUAAGGAUUAUUUUAUUUUUAUUCUUUAGGCAAAGUUUAUUAACUUGAAUUUCUGCCAUUUGGUAUUCAAAUGUACAGUAUUUCCAAUAUGUAGUGUUCUUGAUUCUGGAAAGUAUGCUGAUUAGUGAUUAAGUAUUUCCAUGGCAAUGAACUCUCGAUUCAGCUAAUUAGCCAAUAUUGCGGAGACAGAACUGAGACUCUCCAUUCCGCUAAUAAGUCACUCUUUAGAGAUGUUUUCGUACUCACCCCACAGCGUUGGAUAUGUUGAUCCGUAGAUUUGAAAGGAUUAUUUUGAUCUUUAUCUUUUAGCCAAAGUUUAGCUAUCUGCAUAUCUGCCAUUUAGUACUCAAAUAUAUACUAUUUCCAGUCUUUAGUGUUCUUGAUUCUUGAAAGUAUGAUCAAGGUUUUUGAGUCGCCGAGUCAAGCCAAGUCGCCGAGGCUGCGGCUAGUGGCUUGCUGGCUUGAGUCAGCGACUUGGCUUGAUUAGUCGCCCCAAGUCGCCAUGGCAUAACAGUACAUAGAGCAGCAGAGCACAUAGAUAUACAGCAGCAGCAGAGCACAUAUACAGCAGAGAAAAUGUACUACAUCUAAGCAGAGCACAUAUAGAGCCCACCCUGCGCUAUCUUUCAUAUACUACAUCUAAGCAGAGCACAUAUAGAGCCCACCCUGCGCUCUCUUUCCUUCGGUCCUCCUCCUUCCCCAGUUCCCACAUGAUGACAUAUAUAGCAGCAGCAAGCCACGCGAGCCAGCGAGCCAGCCAGUCGCGCGACUAAUCGCACCAAGUCGCCGGCGAGCCACGCGAGUCGCGCGACUUGCUCCCUGAGUCAAGUCGCCUGCGCGAGCCAGCCAUGCCGCGACGACUUGGCGAUUAGUCGGCGACUCAAAAACAGAGAGUAUGAUGAUUAGUGAUUAAUAUUUCCAUGGCAAUUAACUCUUGUUCAGCUAAUAACCAAUGUUACGGGGCACAACUGAGACUCUCCACUGAACUCAUGAACUCUCAUUCUGCUAAUAAGUCACUCCUUAGAGAUGUUUUCGUGCUCACUCCACGGUGUUGGUACGUUGAUCAGUAGAUUUGAAAGGAAAGAAGAAAAACAUAGCUUAUUCAGCGAAUAAAUUAAAAGUGCUGUCUGGAUGUUACUGCUGUGUGACUUUCAGUUUUGUUUUGCUUUUCACAAUGCUUGCAAUGGAAAUGCUCAGCAUUGUAGAAACAUGUGUACAUGCCAAAAAGACUUGACCAAAAGGCUAACUAAAGAUCAUUGGUGCUUGCAAUGGAAAUGCUCAGCAUUGUAGAAACAUGUGUAC